AUUGAACGCUGGCGGCAGGCCUAACACAUGCAAGUCGAACGGUAACAGGAAGCAGCUUGCUGCUUUGCUGACGAGUGGCGGACGGGUGAGUAAUGUCUGGGAAACUGCCUGAUGGAGGGGGAUAACUACUGGAAACGGUAGCUAAUACCGCAUAACGUCGCAAGACCAAAGAGGGGGACCUUCGGGCCUCUUGCCAUCGGAUGUGCCCAGAUGGGAUUAGCUAGUAGGUGGGGUAACGGCUCACCUAGGCGACGAUCCCUAGCUGGUCUGAGAGGAUGACCAGCCACACUGGAACUGAGACACGGUCCAGACUCCUACGGGAGGCAGCAGUGGGGAAUAUUGCACAAUGGGCGCAAGCCUGAUGCAGCCAUGCCGCGUGUAUGAAGAAGGCCUUCGGGUUGUAAAGUACUUUCAGCGGGGAGGAAGGGAGUAAAGUUAAUACCUUUGCUCAUUGACGUCACCCGCAGAAGAAGCACCGGCUAACUCCGUG
RNAcentral lists this ribosomal RNA (490 nucleotides) under uncultured bacterium. RNAcentral describes it as "partial 16S ribosomal RNA". It matches the Rfam family "Bacterial small subunit ribosomal RNA", at positions 30 to 507 of the family's 1533-position model. The record is from RNAcentral.